RNAcentral lists this ribosomal RNA (460 nucleotides) under uncultured bacterium. RNAcentral's name for it is "partial 16S ribosomal RNA". It matches the Rfam family "Bacterial small subunit ribosomal RNA", at positions 338 to 795 of the family's 1533-position model. The record is from RNAcentral.
CCUACGGGAGGCAGCAGUGAGGAAUAUUGGUCAAUGGACGAGAGUCUGAACCAGCCAAGUAGCGUGAAGGAUGACUGCCCUAUGGGUUGUAAACUUCUUUUAUAUGGGAAUAAAACGUUCCACGUGUGGGAUUUUGUAUGUACCAUAUGAAUAAGGAUCGGCUAACUCCGUGCCAGCAGCCGCGGUAAUACGGAGGAUCCGAGCGUUAUCCGGAUUUAUUUGGUUUAAAGGGAGCGUAGGUGGAUUGUUAAGUCAGUUGUGAAAGUUUGCGGCUCAACCGUAAAAUUGCAGUUGAAACUGGCAGUCUUGAGCACAGUAGAGGUGUGCGGAAUGCGUGGUGUAGCGGUGAAAUGCAUAGAUAUCACGAAGAACUCCGAUUGCGAAGGCAGCUCACUGGACUGCAACUGACACUGAGGCACGAAAGUGUGGGUAUCAAACAGGAUUAGAUACCCCUGUAGUC